UACGUAGGUGGCAAGCGUUGUCCGGAUUUACUGGGCGUAAAGAGCGCGCAGGCGGUCGUUCAAGUCGCGUGUGAAAGCCCCCGGCUCAACUGGGGAGGGUCACGCGAUACUGAUCGACUCGAAGGCAGGAGAGGGUAGUGGAAUUCCCGGUGUAGUGGUGAAAUGCGUAGAUAUCGGGAGGAACACCAGUGGCGAAGGCGACUACCUGGCCUGUUCUUGACGCUGAGGCGCGAAAGCGUGGGGAGCAAACGGG
This 253-nucleotide ribosomal RNA is filed under the name uncultured bacterium. RNAcentral describes it as "partial 16S ribosomal RNA". It matches the Rfam family "Bacterial small subunit ribosomal RNA", at positions 524 to 776 of the family's 1533-position model. The record is from RNAcentral.